CCCACCUAAACCCUAACUUUCUCUCCACUCACAGCCCCUCCGCCCCCAAGCGCCGCUCCUCACAUACCUAGCGUCGCUCCACCAUCUUAUCUCAAUCUGUCCCCCUCAAACCCGCCGCAGCAAGAUCUGAAGCCAAAGUUCAAGUAGGGGAACGACAAUUGUAUUGCAGUCAUUUGGUUGCUAUUGGAGUGACGGACAUCGUGAUAGUAGUUGCAACGACAAUACCCCACCCGGUGGAGGAAACAAUACUUGUAUCCGAUUCUUCAUUUUUUACAAUAUUAUUUAUAUUUCUACCUUAUUAAUGAAAAUAAUAGCUACGGUGUGAAUUAUCU
RNAcentral lists this long non-coding RNA (332 nucleotides) under Erythranthe guttata (spotted monkey flower). Its description in RNAcentral is "long non-coding RNA (EGUT_LNC002873)". The record is from RNAcentral. Lineage: Eukaryota; Viridiplantae; Streptophyta; Magnoliopsida; Lamiales; Phrymaceae.